UGGCUCUUCACGGUACAUUUCGACCAUAGAUUCUAUAUAAAAAGAUUUCGACCAACACCUGGAGCCAGCAUGGGACACAGAACAGCCGAGAAGAACCAACAACAUUGAUACUGACUGGACAUCACCAUCAGAAGAGGAUGCAUCCUCUAAUCUCCGAUGAUCUACGUGGUUGAACCUAUUGAGCACCCUAUCAAAGAAUACCAGAAGAUGCAGGAAAAUGAGGCUGAAGAACUGGAGCUGGCGACCAUGGUGAUCUUUAUCACUGGGAAAGAUGAUCCUCUCAAUCCACCCAAAAACAUUAAGAUCGAAGGAGGUCCUGAAUGAGUUGCCCUUAGUUGGAACAGCUUUUGCCAUGUUCUUUGGACUCAUUUACACACUCAACCUAAAAUAUCUGAAAAGGCUGCAAUUCACCUUUUUGAAGUAAUGCAAAAGGUCCUGAUGGAGCUUGAUGGAAAGAUUUCCCAUUUGUGGUUCUAUUUUAUGGUGUUUCUACAGCAAAGACUUUGGAUCAUUUUAUAUGAGGUUGCACUUACAUGGCUACAUUUUCAUUUUAACUCAUUUACCAGCCUCACAGUUGGAAGUAGGCCGAGUGUUCUAGACAACUGGAGACAAUGAUUGCAGCAUUUGCACUGAUUUGUAAGGCAGAUAAGUUAGAUUUUCAGACCAAGGGAGAGGGACAGGAGAUUUCUAUCUUGAGAACUGACGAGGUUCACACAAAUCAUCUUAAAUCCUUGAGGAAAAUAAUUUGGUGUUCUUUAAAAUAUUUUUUGCAUUGUCAAUGUUCCUAGCUUGUGAUUCCAUCAAGUGAGUGAUACUUACCAACUUUGUGGGCUCAGAGUUUUAGUUUGAGCUAUUACAUCUAAAUUAACCGUAUUCAAUAAAAUGUAUAGCUAUGCAUUUAAAUGAAUACAGUUAAUAAGAUGUACAGCUCUCAAUCAGAAACUCUGUCAGUGUCGUAGACAGUGAAUAGUGGAACUCCUAAGGAGCAGCUCCAGGAUUUGUCUCUUUUGUUCAGCUGAAAGUGAUUUCAAAAAGGUGUACAAUAUUGUUAUAAGGGUAAAAUAAGUUCUGUCAGGAAAGAACUUCCUAAUUCAACGUUAUUACAAAUGUGUCAUCCAAUGACAGUUUAAAUUAAGUUAACAAAUUUGUGGGCUUACAGUAGCUUUGUGUUAGCCAUUACGUUCAAAUUAGUUUAUUUAAAGAUGAACAAAACACAUGGUCCAUAUGCUGCACUAGUAGUUGAUAUUUUCACCCAGUAGCACACAUUGCCCCACCACAAUCAGUAACUUUUUUGCUAUACACUAAUGUUAGUACAUCCAAAGACCUCACAGAUUAGGGUGGGGCAGUGUGUGCAGCAGGGUGAAAAUAUCAACCACUAGGGCAGCAAAUUUACCAUGUGUUUAGCUGAUAGUAAUGCUCACACAUCAGAAAAUGUAUACCAGUAAAUUAACCAUGAGUACUGCAUGAUGUCUUAGGAGUUGUGCUACUAUUCACAGCUCCAUGAUUUGUCUUUUGAUGUAAUUGUCACAUUCUGCCUGUCAGCCAUGUCUUGUUUACCCUGUGUUUUGAUUUUCAUUUCUCGGGGUUUGGUUUCAUGUCUUAGUGUUACUCCUGGUCUGCGUACUUCUGUGUAGGUUGCUGUGUUGGUGGUAGUUGGUGGUAUUUGUGAUCUGUUUGCUUGUGUCUGUUCCCCCAGUAAUUCCUCUGCUUGCUUGUCCACUAAAUACUUUGAGUUUCAGUUGAUGUAUGGUCUGGUGUUUUGCAUCUGUAAGUGUAUCUCUGUUUCCCCCCUGCUGCCUCUCUGCCUGCCGGCCUGUCUUCUGUUUUCCCUGCUGUCUCUAUGCCUCGUUAGCCUUGAUCCCUGUCACCUGUGUUGCUCCCGCCCUGCUCAUUAGUCCCUGGUGUAUAUAUGUUUGGUGUUUCUCUUUAGUUUGCGUCUGGUCGUUGUAGUGUGUUUCACUCAGUCAUGUUUUUUUGGAAGAGUGUUCUGUCUGCCUGUUUGGACUUUCCAGUCAACUGCGUGUAAGCAUAUGUUACCUGUUCUCAGUUGGGUUAAACUCCCCUGAACUUUGUCUCUGCCUUGGUGUCUUGCAUUUGGGCUCACCUUCUUAGCGCUCACCCUCGAAUUGUGACAGUAAUCAGUAGUUCUUUCUGGUGUUCAGCUGAAGGAGACUGUUCAUCUUCAUACAUUUGAAACAGAUUGUAUGAAUUUAUGGAACAAUAAAUAUAAGUAUGUUCUAUA
Molecule: long non-coding RNA, 2242 nt
Organism: Micropterus dolomieu (smallmouth bass)
Lineage: Eukaryota; Metazoa; Chordata; Actinopteri; Centrarchiformes; Centrarchidae
Exons: 2
Source: RefSeq, a predicted model, not a curated record